Molecule: long non-coding RNA, 243 nt
Organism: Labrus mixtus (cuckoo wrasse)
Lineage: Eukaryota; Metazoa; Chordata; Actinopteri; Labriformes; Labridae
Exons: 2
Source: RefSeq, a predicted model, not a curated record
GUUAGCAGAACACAAUCAGUGAGCUUGAGUAAGAUAACUCCCGUCGAGUUGUUAUUGUGUUUAUGAAUCUCAGAUGAACUUGAUGGCGAGCCCAGCCCAGUGAUUCAGAGGACGGUCGCUUACGCAGUGAGGCCAGCUGCAGUACCUGCUCAGAGGACGUCAGAUUGCUUGACUCAUUCAUUUGACUCCAGAUAAGACACACUCUAUUAACUUACCCGGGUAGUAAUAAACAUUGACACUGAA